CUGCCAUUUGAAGAACUACCUGCCCUACGCCAGAUCCUAGGUCUACAAAUACGUCGUCGUCGGUGACAGCAAUUUGAUCAAUCAUUUGGCAGACAAGUUCAUAGCUUGUUUCUCCAUAGACUUCUGGCGAAAAGGAUUUACAAUCCACUUAGCCUGUAACUCAUAGAGGUACACAAAAAGUCAGAUAUAAAUCUGCGAUGCAGUAUUGAAGAAGCCUGGAAUAUUGUUUAACUGCAUCGGCAUACCACAGAUAAAUGCAACAAAAUUCUUUGGUAAUAUUUGUGACAUAAAGUGAUAAAAAAUAGAUGUCAAAGUCACAUGGGGCUUUUGAAAAACGACUUGGAAAAAACUUAACGGUAUUUUGUGAACUUGGUGGAAUUACAAGCAAAAAUAUGAAUAUAGAGUGAUUGUGUGAAUUUAGGAAUAUCUACUAUUGGAUGUAUAAGUUACCGAAUAGUUUGAAUACUCUUGUAGAUAUAAUAUCUUUCAGUAUCUAUCCUACAAUAAGAGCCAAAGUUGAAGAACUGUAGAUGAUCUGAUGUCAUUGUGUAAAACUAAGCGACAUUCAUUGGGUUUUUCAUCAAUGCAUGUUCAUAUGAUAGCACUUUCAACGCUUUUAAUGUAUUAAUGAAAAGCACCUUAGAUUUGAUAUAAUUCAUAUU
Athalia rosae (coleseed sawfly) is the source of this 662-nucleotide long non-coding RNA. RefSeq lists it as uncharacterized. The transcript has 3 exons. The record is from RefSeq and is a predicted model, not a curated record. Lineage: Eukaryota; Metazoa; Arthropoda; Insecta; Hymenoptera; Athaliidae.